CAACCGAUGACGACGAAGUGAAAGACGAUGAACUUUGCUUAAACGGUCUUACAAAGUUGGAAGAUGAUUUUCGAGCUGGCGGGUCCGUCAACGGCCGUUCCAGGCAGAGGAGAAGGCUUGAUUGCGCCAAAGACUCCAGACAUCGAAUCCUUGCUCCGAGGGGAAAUCAUCGAAAACGACGGUGAAUGUCCGACAGGCACCCGCUAUUGGUAGCACUGGACAAGUCGGAUAUCCUUGCUUGGAUCCUUUUAAAGUUGCCCGAUAAACUGCUGAGAGUUGAUCUCUCCUCUUGUCCAAAGGUUUUUCGUUCAUUUUUACUUGUAAUACUGCCACUAGGGUUGAUGUAGUAGCUCCACAACAUAACCUUAAAGCCUGUGACUGGAUCCGGUCUAUUUUCCCAAGUCAUGUUUU
Molecule: long non-coding RNA, 411 nt
Organism: Nerophis ophidion (straightnose pipefish)
Lineage: Eukaryota; Metazoa; Chordata; Actinopteri; Syngnathiformes; Syngnathidae
Exons: 3
Source: RefSeq, a predicted model, not a curated record